Molecule: transfer RNA, 73 nt
Organism: Cavia porcellus (domestic guinea pig)
Lineage: Eukaryota; Metazoa; Chordata; Mammalia; Rodentia; Caviidae
Rfam family: tRNA
About the family: Transfer RNA (tRNA) molecules are approximately 80 nucleotides in length.
Source: Rfam
GGGGGUUUAGCUCAGCAGCAUAAGCACCUGCCUUGCAAGCAGGUGGUCCUGAGUUCGAUCCCCGGUACCAAUA